Molecule: ribosomal RNA, 301 nt
Filed under: uncultured bacterium
Lineage: Bacteria
Description: partial 16S ribosomal RNA
Rfam family: Bacterial small subunit ribosomal RNA
Source: RNAcentral
CAGUCGCCACGGGAAUACGAAGGGGGCUAGCGUUGCUCGGAAUGACUGGGCGUAAAGGGCGCGUAGGCGGCGAUCAAAGUCAGGCGUGAAAUUCCUGGGCUCAACCUGGGGGCUGCGUUUGAUACUUGAUUGCUAGAGUGGGGAAGAGGGUCGUGGAAUUCCCAGUGUAGAGGUGAAAUUCGUAGAUAUCGGAAGGAACACCAGUGGCGAAGGCGGCUACCUGGAUUGACACUGACACUGAGGCGCGAGAGCGUGGGGAGCAAACAGGAUUAGAUACCCCCGUAGUCCCUGUCUCUUAUAC